CCUACGGGUGGCAGCAGUGAGGAAUAUUGGUCAAUGGGCGAGAGCCUGAACCAGCCAAGUCGCGUGAGGGAGUACUGCCCUAUGGGUUGUAAACCUCUUUUGUCGGGGAGCAAAAGCCGGACGUGUCCGGCUGUGAGAGUACCCGAAGAAAAAGCAUCGGCUAACUCCGUGCCAGCAGCCGCGGUAAUACGGAGGAUGCGAGCGUUAUCCGGAUUUAUUGGGUUAAAAGGGUGCGCAGGCGGAUGUUUAAGUCAGCGGUAAAAUCGUUGGGCUCAACCCCAUCCAGCCGUUGAAACUGGGGAUCUAGAGUGUGCGAGAGGUAUGCGGAAUGCGUGGUGUAGCGGUGAAAUGCAUAGAUAUCACGCAGAACCCCGAUUGCGAAGGCAGCAUACCGGUGCACAACUGACGCUCAGGCACGAAAGCGUGGGUAUCGAACAGGAUUAGAUACCCUAGUAGUC
RNAcentral lists this ribosomal RNA (458 nucleotides) under uncultured bacterium. Its description in RNAcentral is "partial 16S ribosomal RNA". It matches the Rfam family "Bacterial small subunit ribosomal RNA", at positions 338 to 795 of the family's 1533-position model. The record is from RNAcentral.